Stegostoma tigrinum is the source of this 588-nucleotide long non-coding RNA. RefSeq lists it as uncharacterized. The transcript has 3 exons. The record is from RefSeq and is a predicted model, not a curated record. Lineage: Eukaryota; Metazoa; Chordata; Chondrichthyes; Orectolobiformes; Stegostomatidae.
UGUGAUUAUGGUGGCCAUUUUAGGCAUAUGAUCCUUUUCUUUUAAAAAUCAUGUCAGUACAUGAAAAGUCUCAAGGAUGACAAUCAGCAUUUUGGGAUCGCAAGAUGGUGCCUUUGGACAUCAAUUGUAACAAUAUCUGAAUGCAAGAAAACAGGUCUUGCCCAUCUGAUGUCAUUUACUUGUGGCAGGUGUGAAAAAUGUAGGUGCUUUCAGUCGUGGUGAGUAGAAUGAGGGGACAUUCCACCUUGGAUGGGAGAUGGAGGUUCUGCAGUUGGCUACAGCACUGCCCCUGACCAAAGUUGCCUUUAUUUCUAAAUCUGUGAGUCUCGUAAGUGAGAAUUUUCAGCCUUUUGAACCGUGGGAAGGCAUGUAGAACCACAUUCUCACUGGCCAGGCAUACUGGUGAGCUUCCAUCAAGAGUCAAAGGAUUAGGAUCAAGAAUGAUGAAUUUGCAUGGUAUCUUUUAACUCUCCAUUGCUAUCCAGUAUGCAGAAGUCAAUUGUAGUGACAAUGCCACUGCUGUGGAUGGGCUCAGAUAACUCAGCACAGACUAAGAGUUUAAACUAACUAACUUUCUAAUCUAUGUAA